GACGAACGCUGGCGGCGUGCUUAACACAUGCAAGUCGAGCGGUAAGGCUCCUUCGGGAGUACACGAGCGGCGAACGGGUGAGUAACACGUGAGUAAUCUGCCCUUCACUUCGGGAUAACCACCGGAAACGGUGGCUAAUACCGAAUACGACCAGUCUUCGCAUGAGGUGCUGGUGGAAAGUCUUUUCGGUGAAGGAUGUGCUCGCGGCCUAUCAGCUUGUUGGUGGGGUAUUGGCCUACCAAGGCUUCGACGGGUAGCCGGCCUGAGAGGGUGACCGGCCACACUGGGACUGAGACACGGCCCAGACUCCUACGGGAGGCAGCAGUGGGGAAUAUUGGACAAUGGGCGAAAGCCUGAUCCAGCAACGCCGCGUGAGGGAUGACGGCCUUCGGGUUGUAAACCUCUUUCAGUACCGACGAAGCGCCCUGUCGGGUGGUGACGGUAGGUACAGAAGAAGGACCGGCCAACUACGUG
RNAcentral lists this ribosomal RNA (474 nucleotides) under uncultured bacterium. Its description in RNAcentral is "partial 16S ribosomal RNA". It matches the Rfam family "Bacterial small subunit ribosomal RNA", at positions 28 to 507 of the family's 1533-position model. The record is from RNAcentral.